This 303-nucleotide ribosomal RNA is filed under the name Acinetobacter baumannii 1552818. RNAcentral's name for it is "partial 16S ribosomal RNA". The stretch from base 138 to 303 matches the Rfam family "Bacterial small subunit ribosomal RNA", at positions 1 to 166 of the family's 1533-position model. The record is from RNAcentral. Lineage: Bacteria; Pseudomonadati; Pseudomonadota; Gammaproteobacteria; Moraxellales; Moraxellaceae.
UUUACUGAUUGAUUAAUCGAAAUAAUUUUCAUUGAUUGAUUGGUUUAAAUUACUCGAAGUUUAUUUGAGCGAAAUUUAAGUCAGUAAUUGAUGAGCCGGAAUUGGCACCUUGUCUAUAAUAAGGUGCAAAAUGAUUUUAACUGAAGAGUUUGAUCAUGGCUCAGAUUGAACGCUGGCGGCAGGCUUAACACAUGCAAGUCGAGCGGGGGAAGGUAGCUUGCUACUGGACCUAGCGGCGGACGGGUGAGUAAUGCUUAGGAAUCUGCCUAUUAGUGGGGGACAACAUCUCGAAAGGGAUGCUAA